UCAUUACCGAGUUUACACUCCCAACCCAAUGUGAACGUUACCAAACUGUUGCCUCGGCGGGAUCUCUGCCCCGGGUGCGUCGCAGCCCCGGACCAAGGCGCCCGCCGGAGGACCAACCAAAACUCUUAUUGUAUACCCCCUCGCGGGUUUUUUUAUAAUCUGAGCCUUCUCGGCGCCUCUCGUAGGCGUUUCGAAAAUGAAUCAAAACUUUCAACAACGGAUCUCUUGGUUCUGGCAUCGAUGAAGAACGCAGCGAAAUGCGAUAAGUAAUGUGAAUUGCAGAAUUCAGUGAAUCAUCGAAUCUUUGAACGCACAUUGCGCCCGCCAGUAUUCUGGCGGGCAUGCCUGUCCGAGCGUCAUUUCAACCCUCGAACCCCUCCGGGGGGUCGGCGUUGGGGAUCGGCCCUCCCUUAGCGGGUGGCCGUCUCCGAAAUACAGUGGCGGUCUCGCCGCAGCCUCUCCUGCGCAGUAGUUUGCACACUCCUCGGGAGGCGCGGC
RNAcentral lists this ribosomal RNA (498 nucleotides) under Trichoderma sp. HKB12. RNAcentral's name for it is "eukaryotic LSU rRNA". The stretch from base 206 to 359 matches the Rfam family "5.8S ribosomal RNA". Lineage: Eukaryota; Fungi; Ascomycota; Sordariomycetes; Hypocreales; Hypocreaceae. The record is from RNAcentral.